GGGCCCGUAGCUCAGUGGUAGAGCGCUGGCUUUGCAAGCCAGAGGUCGCGGGUUCGAAUCCCGCCGGGUCCA
Molecule: transfer RNA, 72 nt
Filed under: Candidatus Korarchaeales archaeon
Lineage: Archaea; Thermoproteati; Thermoproteota; Candidatus Korarchaeia; Candidatus Korarchaeales
Also listed under: 1 other name
Description: tRNA-Ala
Rfam family: tRNA
About the family: Transfer RNA (tRNA) molecules are approximately 80 nucleotides in length. Their secondary structure includes four short double-helical elements and three loops (D, anti-codon, and T loops).
Source: RNAcentral